CAGUAGCCACGGGAAUACGGAGGGAGCUAGCGUUGUUCGGAAUUACUGGGCGUAAAGCGCACGUAGGCGGCUUUGUAAGUUAGAGGUGAAAGCCUGGAGCUCAACUCCAGAACUGCCUUUAAGACUGCAUCGCUUGAAUCCAGGAGAGGUGAGUGGAAUUCCGAGUGUAGAGGUGAAAUUCGUAGAUAUUCGGAAGAACACCAGUGGCGAAGGCGGCUCACUGGACUGGUAUUGACGCUGAGGUGCGAAAGCGUGGGGAGCAAACAGGAUUAGAUACCCCUGUAGUCCCUGUCUCUUAUAC
RNAcentral lists this ribosomal RNA (301 nucleotides) under uncultured bacterium. RNAcentral's name for it is "partial 16S ribosomal RNA". It matches the Rfam family "Bacterial small subunit ribosomal RNA", at positions 509 to 807 of the family's 1533-position model. The record is from RNAcentral.